RNAcentral lists this ribosomal RNA (497 nucleotides) under uncultured bacterium. Its description in RNAcentral is "partial 16S ribosomal RNA". It matches the Rfam family "Bacterial small subunit ribosomal RNA", at positions 28 to 507 of the family's 1533-position model. The record is from RNAcentral.
GAUGAACGCUGGCGGCGUGCCUAAUACAUGCAAGUCGAGCGAACAGACGAGGAGCUUGCUCCUCUGACGUUAGCGGCGGACGGGUGAGUAACACGUGGAUAACCUACCUAUAAGGCUGGGAUAACUUCGGGAAACCGGAGCUAAUACCGGAUAAUAUAUUGAACCGCAUGGUUCAAUAGUGAAAGACGGUUUUGCUGUCACUUAUAGAUGGAUCCGCGCCGCAUUAGCUAGUUGGUAAGGUAACGGCUUACCAAGGCAACGAUGCGUAGCCGGCCUGAGAGGGUGAUCGGCCACACUGGAACUGAGACACGGUCCAGACUCCUACGGGAGGCAGCAGUAGGGAAUCUUCCGCAAUGGGCGAAAGCCUGACGGAGCAACGCCGCGUGAGUGAUGAAGGUCUUCGGAUCGUAAAACUCUGUUAUUAGGGAAGAACAAAUGUGUAAGUAACUAUGCACGUCUUGACGGUACCUAAUCAGAAAGCCACGGCUAACUACGUG